This is a non-coding RNA of Mycena vulgaris, 92 nucleotides long. The record is from the annotation of a GenBank genome assembly. NCBI's taxonomy places the organism in Eukaryota, Fungi, Basidiomycota, Agaricomycetes, Agaricales, Mycenaceae.
GCCUUCAUGGGGUAGUGAAACCCGCUCCCAGCCGUUUCGCUGGUGGGAAUAAAUAUCGGGGAGAGACGGUGGUUCGAACCCACCUGGAGACA